UACAGAGACUGCAAGCGUUAUUCGGAUUCACUGGGCGUAAAGGGUGCGCAGGCGGUUGGGUGUGUCAGAUGUGAAAUCCCGAGGCUUAACCUCGGAACUGCGUCUGAAACUACUCGACUAGAGUACUGGAGAGGGAAACGGAAUUCACGGUGUAGCAGUGAAAUGCGUAGAUAUCGGGAGGAACACCAGUGGCGAAGGCGGAGACCUGGGCCAAUACUGACGCUGAGGUGCGAAAGCGUGGGGAGCAAACAGG
Molecule: ribosomal RNA, 253 nt
Filed under: uncultured bacterium
Lineage: Bacteria
Description: partial 16S ribosomal RNA
Rfam family: Bacterial small subunit ribosomal RNA
Source: RNAcentral